This 494-nucleotide ribosomal RNA is filed under the name uncultured bacterium. RNAcentral describes it as "partial 16S ribosomal RNA". It matches the Rfam family "Bacterial small subunit ribosomal RNA", at positions 28 to 507 of the family's 1533-position model. The record is from RNAcentral.
GACGAACGCUGGCGGCGUGCUUAACACAUGCAAGUCGAACGGAAAGGCCUGCUUUCCCUUGUGGAUUGCGGGUACUCGAGUGGCGAACGGGUGAGUAACACGUGAGUGAUCUGCCCCCAACUUGGGUAUAAGCCUGGGAAACUGGGUCUAAUUCCCGAUAGGACUGCAGGGUGGUGCCUGUGGUGGAAAACGAUUUUCUAGUGGUUGGGGAUGAGCUCGCGGCCCAUCAGCUUGUUGGUGGGGUAAUGGCCUACCAAGGCGGCAACGGGUAGCCGGCCUGAGAGGGUGGACGGCCACAUUGGAACUGAGAUACGGCCCAGACUCCUACGGGAGGCAGCAGUGGGGAAUAUUGCACAAUGGGCGGAAGCCUGAUGCAGCGACGCCGCGUGGGGGAUGACGGCCUUCGGGUUGUAAACUCCUUUCGACCGCGAGGAAGCCACCUGGUUGGAAGGGUGGUGACGGUAGUGGUAGAAGAAGCACCGGCUAACUACGUG